This 253-nucleotide ribosomal RNA is filed under the name uncultured bacterium. RNAcentral's name for it is "partial 16S ribosomal RNA". It matches the Rfam family "Bacterial small subunit ribosomal RNA", at positions 524 to 776 of the family's 1533-position model. The record is from RNAcentral.
UACGGAGGGUGCGAGCGUUAAUCGGAAUUACUGGGCGUAAAGCGCACGUAGGCGGUUUGUUAAGCAAGAUGUGAAAGCCUAGGGCUCAACCUUGGAAUAGCAUUUUGAACUGGCAAGCUAGAGUUUUGAAGAGGGUGGUAGAAUUUCCAGUGUAGCGGUGAAAUGCGUAGAUAUUGGAAGGAAUACCAGUGGCGAAGGCGGCCACCUGGUCAAAAACUGACGCUGAGGAGCGAAAGCGUGGGGAGCAAACAGG